GCCUUCGUGGCGUAAUGGUCAGCACACUCGGAGCGUAAUCGAGAGGUCCGAAGUUCGAGUCCUGGCGAGGGCA
This 73-nucleotide transfer RNA is filed under the name Stegodyphus mimosarum. It matches the Rfam family "tRNA". Rfam says of the family: Transfer RNA (tRNA) molecules are approximately 80 nucleotides in length. Lineage: Eukaryota; Metazoa; Arthropoda; Arachnida; Araneae; Eresidae. The record is from Rfam by way of RNAcentral.